UCUUUCUGUAAACCAAAAGCAGUGCCCCGUUUUAGAACAAAGCUCUCCCAUAAAGAGUUGAACAUUUCCAUCUGAUAGAUGACAUCAUGCUCAGAGAGGACUUGGUAAAUUACGAGGACAUACUUGACAUUAGAGAGAUGAUGAAAACUAGAAAAAGAAAACUAUUAACAUUCUAAAGAGAAAAACAGCAAGUAAUUUAGAUCAUAAACUAGCUAAGUCCUUCCACUUUGUUAGGUUAAAGUUUAACUUUAAUUGAAAUGGCUCUGUCACAAAAGGUUGUAUAGAUAAACGAGUGAGGAGAUUAUAUUACAGAAAUCUAUGAAGUAACAUAUUUCAUUAACAUGGAUGUUUCUAGGAAGACAAAGAAUCAAUUCAAACCAAGCAGAGAAAAAAGUCUACUCUGGAAGCUGCUGUUUAGGUAAUAUCACUCCGAGCUUCUAAGACAAGAACACUGCAUACUGCAAGAAGGAAAGAGAAAGACAUCCACCCCUCCUGGCAAGGAUACAUCUACAACUCUGAGACUGGAUAGUGGGACUUACUAGUCCUACUCUGAAGUGCCACUAACUUCUGCACAUCCCUGAAGAAUUCUCAGUGUGGGAUGUUAGAAUAUAUCUAACGUUCCCCAA
This is a non-coding RNA of Taeniopygia guttata (zebra finch), 626 nucleotides long. NCBI's taxonomy places the organism in Eukaryota, Metazoa, Chordata, Aves, Passeriformes, Estrildidae. The record is from RefSeq and is a predicted model, not a curated record.